Long non-coding RNA from Hippopotamus amphibius kiboko, 654 nucleotides. RefSeq lists it as uncharacterized. Lineage: Eukaryota; Metazoa; Chordata; Mammalia; Artiodactyla; Hippopotamidae. The transcript is spliced from 3 exons. The record is from RefSeq and is a predicted model, not a curated record.
UAAUGCCUUGCUUCCUUGCCUAAUGUCUCAGCCCAUCAUAGGGUUGCCACCAUGCUAAGACAAAGGGCUGUCCUGCUCUGGGAAGGAGACCCUGCCAGGCAGUGUUAAAUGUAUGCCCUUACAUUCGCCAACAUGGGAAACGAGGAUAGUGACACUUCAACUGAUUUCCCAAGUUUGCGGGAGAAUGGAGAGGUCAGCCGUGCCACACGGGGUGGUCCAAAGGCACAAACUUUGGACCCAGACAAACGUUCCUCGUCUGAAAAGGGGAUUGCCAAGUCUAGCUCACGGGGCUGCUAGAAGCGUUAAAUGAGAUACUACUGAUACUUCUAAUGCUGGGUCAGCAAGAUACUGCUUGGAAUAAAAGUGCAGAUUUCCAGCAAUGAAGCCAACUCAUCCAGUGAUAUAAAAUCCAUUUACGACAAACAUAAACCAUGUUUUCAGCAAUAAUUUACAUAUCUGAAAUGAGAGAAACUGGAAACUGAUCAGCAUAGCCUAAAUAAAUGGUCCUCUUCAUUGUAACUCUUUUAUAGCCAAAGUGACCUUUCUUACUUAGUGCCAAGGCAGCAUAUUUAUAGGAUGCUAUUUUCUCAUGUAAUUCACUGUCACAUUAUAUUUUCAUAAAUAUUCCUGAAAUGUAAAACAGCUGCAUAUUAU